Molecule: long non-coding RNA, 222 nt
Filed under: Carica papaya (papaya)
Lineage: Eukaryota; Viridiplantae; Streptophyta; Magnoliopsida; Brassicales; Caricaceae
Description: long non-coding RNA (CPAP_LNC005075)
Source: RNAcentral
AUACAUGUUAUAAUAAUUUAAUUAGGCUAUAAUAAGUGUAGAUACUUUGGCUACAAUAACUACUACGGCCAUUUAUUUGGGACUUCAAAAAUCAAUUUUCGUAGUUAGGCCACGUUCAGCAUUGUGUCAAUUAAUUGGGUUUCAAUGUGUCAUUCAAUUAAAGUUUCGAUAUCAUACAAAGUUUUGGUCAAUGCAACUUUUAGUUGGAUGACAAGUUAAUUU